This is a non-coding RNA of Pelobates cultripes (western spadefoot toad), 245 nucleotides long. The record is from the annotation of a GenBank genome assembly. Lineage: Eukaryota; Metazoa; Chordata; Amphibia; Anura; Pelobatidae.
CCUCCUGGCAACUCUGGCCACACACAAUCCACCAGUGAUGAAACAACACAGAGACAAGUAACGACACAAGACAACCAAUAUACGCACACCCCCCUCCGGACACAGAACGAACGCCACAUACCAUAACCCCACGAAUGCUCAUGGGACACGACACAUGACAAACACACCCACGAGACAGCACCCUAGAGACGGUUCCCACACAACACACCACCCAACAGACCGCUGACCCCACGCAUCAGACUGCC